Drosophila pseudoobscura is the source of this 1173-nucleotide long non-coding RNA. RefSeq lists it as uncharacterized. The transcript is spliced from 2 exons. The record is from RefSeq and is a predicted model, not a curated record. Lineage: Eukaryota; Metazoa; Arthropoda; Insecta; Diptera; Drosophilidae.
ACAUUUUUUGUCUUUGUUUUCGCUAGAAAAAAAAGUCACCUUCGCCUCUUUCCCUAUAUUCACAUGCAUAUCUACAUACGGAUGUAUGUAUGUACGAGUAUGUACAAGGAAAUCUGUGAGUGGUCACGUCUGCCACUACUGUCCGCUGACAAGAGUAACAAAAACAGCCAUCAAUAAAGUUCUACUCUUUCCAACGCGCGCUCGAUCCGCGCGGUGCGUGCCCGUGUACCUGGUGUGUCUGGUCUGAACGUGCAGUGAAUGGCAGGACUCGCUGGUGUGCCUCCUCCUGCAGUUGCCAAAGUGAUGCUCCCCCUCACGGACAAUGGCAAGUUUUUAUCACUCCACGGCAGGUGCGUUGCCGAGACAAUGGAAACUGAUGCACCACUCCAUUUGCUCUUUCUCCUUCUUCAUCUUGAGGUCCGCCUACCCGGUCCGCCAUUUGUCUCAUUUGCUCCCAGACUAGAGAUGGGCAUUUGCCAUAUGGCUGUAUGUGACUCAUGUGAUAAGUGCAUACGGAGGCCUGCCUGCUUUGCCCCCCGCUUUAUUUUCAUCAUUCGAGCUGUCAUAUUCCACCAAUCCGGUGGUCUUUUCUUUAGAGGUAUUGCUCUUAAAGUCUCAGAGAUCGACAGACGACGGAAUAUGGAUGGUUCGUAAAUGUUUUUCGUGCGUGUGCUUGUGCGUUCCGUGGCAGUCCGUCCCUGGCCGCGCCCAUCGCCAUCUGGGACCGAACUGCAUUCAACACAAAACGAGCUGAGCUCAAUGGGCGUGGCCAGCUUUUAUGGUCCGGCGAUAAAAUCAAAUUGAAGUUUUCCCGGCUUUCCUCAAAGACAGAGACACACAGGAGAGCGAGUGAGAGAGAGUGAGGAGUGAAAACGGUUGGCUCAUUUAUUAUUAUGAGGCGGCCGUUGUGUGGAACCGGAGGCAUCCAGAAGGGAAUGAAAUCAUUUGUAACCUGGCACGUGAAAAUCAGCUCGAGCCAGGCAUCCCGUUGCAAAGUUCGAUUGGCCAUUGUGGCAAAGCGCAUUCUAUGGGUUCAUUCAGCCCUCUUUCGAUUUGCCUCUAAUCCGACCCCCCCACCGACAAAACUUUCUGUCCGCACCUUUGUCGGCUGGUUGGAGAUAACCCGUUUGUGCCCAACUUCUUGCCUGUUAAAUAUAUGUGAAUUAACAAAAG